Molecule: ribosomal RNA, 541 nt
Filed under: Leptocarpus potamiscus
Lineage: Eukaryota; Metazoa; Arthropoda; Malacostraca; Decapoda; Palaemonidae
Description: partial large subunit ribosomal RNA
Rfam family: Bacterial large subunit ribosomal RNA
Source: RNAcentral
CGCCUGUUUAACAAAAACAUGUCUAUAUGAAUUUAUUAUAAAAGUAUAACCUGCCCACUGAUGUUUUAAAGGGCCGCGGUAAUAUGACCGUGCUAAGGUAGCAUAGUCAAUAGUCUUUUAAUUGAAGGCUUGAAUGAAUGGUUGGACGAGAUAUAAGCUGUCUCCUAGUUAAAUCUAAAAUUUAACUUUUGAGUGAAAAGGCUCAAAUUAAGUAGUGGGACGAUAAGACCCUGUAAAACUUAAUAUAGUUAGGUUUGAAUUGAUUAUUUUCUUGGAAGUUAAUUUUAACUGAUUAAUAUUUCGUUGGGGCGACGUAGAUAGAAUUUGUAACUGUUUAUUUAAUUUAAUAAUUUAGUUAGUUUUUGAUCCUUCUUUGGGGAUAUGAAGAAUAAGUUACUUCAGGGAUAACAGCGUAAUUUUCUUUAAGAGUUCUUAUCGACAAGAGUAGUUGCGACCUCGAUGUUGAAUUAAAAUUUUAGCUAGGUGUAGUCUUUUAGCUAGUGGGUCUGUCGACUUUAAAUAUGAUCUGAGUUCAGACCGG